Small nuclear RNA from Artibeus jamaicensis (Jamaican fruit-eating bat), 160 nucleotides. RefSeq annotates it as U1 spliceosomal RNA. The record is from RefSeq and is a predicted model, not a curated record. The transcript has a single exon. NCBI's taxonomy places the organism in Eukaryota, Metazoa, Chordata, Mammalia, Chiroptera, Phyllostomidae.
AUACUUACCUGCCCGGGGAGAUACCACAGUCACAAAGGUGGUUUUCCCAGGGUGAGGCUUCUCUAUGGCACUCGGGAUGUGCUGACCCCUGAGAGUUCCCCAAAUGUGGGAAGCUCAACUGCAUGAUUUGUGGUAGUAGGGGCUUCAUUUGCACUCUCUC